This 468-nucleotide ribosomal RNA is filed under the name uncultured bacterium. RNAcentral describes it as "partial 16S ribosomal RNA". It matches the Rfam family "Bacterial small subunit ribosomal RNA", at positions 28 to 507 of the family's 1533-position model. The record is from RNAcentral.
GACGAACGCUGGCGGCGUGCUUAAUACAUGCAAGUCGAACGGAAAGGCCCUGCUUUUGUGGGGUGCUCGAUUGGCGAACGGGGGAGUAACACGUGAGGAUCCUGCCCUUGACUUUCGGAGAUCUCCAGGAAACUGGGGCUAAUACCGGAUAGGAGCUUCUGCUGCAUGGUGGGGGUUGGAAAGUUUCGGCGGUUGGGGAUGGACUCGCGGCUUAUCAGCUUGUUUGUCGGGUAGUGGCUUACCAAGGUUUCGACGGGUAGCCGGCCUGAGAGGGUGAACGGCCACAAUGGGACUGAGAUACGGACCAGACUCCAACGGGAGGCAGUGGUGGGGAAUCUGGCGCAACGGGCGGACGCCAGAUACAGAAACGCCGCGAGCGGGAUGACGGCCUUCGGGUUGUGAACAGCUUUCGACUGUAACGAAGCGUGAGUGACGGUAAUGGGUAAAGAAGCACCGGCUAACUACGUG